This is a non-coding RNA of Erythranthe guttata (spotted monkey flower), 525 nucleotides long. The record is from RefSeq and is a predicted model, not a curated record. Lineage: Eukaryota; Viridiplantae; Streptophyta; Magnoliopsida; Lamiales; Phrymaceae.
UUUUUUUUUUUAAUUAUGUAUAUGAAUGAAAUCAUUUAUUGCCAUUAUUAUGUAUAAAUGCAAGGAUAAAAAACCUUAAAAAAAACAGUACUCCAACAAGCUGACUACAAUUGCAGGAAAUAUGGCCUUCACGGAUUUAACAAAAAGCAAUGACCAGCAAGAAAUUACGAAGAAGCUCAAUGAACAACUUGAGGUGCAAAGAAAGCUCCAUGAACGCUUGGAAAUUGAGAGACAACGCAUGUACCAUAAAAUGAUGCAAGAGAAGAUGAACAAAAAACAAUCAAUAAGGUCCAAAAUUUGAUGUUCGAGCUACAAAAUAUAGGUAAAAUAAAUAUCUCGAAUUAAUAUUGUUGUCGUUAUCGUCGAAAUAACGUUUUAAGCAAAUAUAUCAGUGUAAUAAUAAAUUGGACAAUAUUUUGCGAGUGUAUUCCGUGGUGGCUGAGCCAACAUAAGACUAAAGAGGGCCACGACCUCCCAACAUUUCUCAAAUCUCUAUUAAUUUAUAUAGAAUUUUAAUUUUUGUGU